AGAACUAUUAAAACCCCACCCCACCACAAAACACUCCUAUACCACCCCCUCAGCAUUACACCCUGUAUGUGUCGGCAAGUAAGAACCAGUAGAUAUUUUCUGUCAUUUUCUCGAGAAAAUAUAUAUAUACACACACACAUAUAUUUUAGCCUGUAAAAUUAAGUCUUCAUUCAUUGUUCGAUACGUGAAGAUGAUGAAGGGAGGAUCGAACAUGUUAAUGGACGGUAGUAGAAUGAGCAGUAGUGAUAGCUUGACGACGACAAUUGCUACGCCGACGUUUUCGUCAUAUUCUUCUGGUAGUAAUACGUUAAGAGAUCAUGAAGAGGAGUGGGAGAUGAGGCCAGGAGGAAUGCUGGUACAGAAACGUAACGAAAAGUUCAGCAGUGUUCCUUUAACUACUUUCCGUCUCCGAAUUGCUUACGGCGCUCUCCGCUACGAGAUCUCCGUGAAUUCUCAAGCAACUUUUGGAGAGUUGAAGAAGCUCCUGAUGGUGGAGACAGGGUUGCAGCCUGAUGAACAGAGGCUGAUCUACAAGGGAAAAGAGAGAGAAAACGGACAGUACUUGGACAUUUGUGGAGUCAAAGAUCGAUCAAAAGUCAUAUUAAUACAGGACCCAGCAAGCAUAGAGAAGAGAUACAAUGAAAUGCGCAAAAACGCCAGGAUCCAGAGUGCUCAUCGUGCCAUCCAUUGUGUGUCUAUGGAGGUCGAUAAACUCGCAGAACAGGUAUCAUCAUUAGGUCAAAAUUUAGAGUGGGUGAGUGUCUCCAUCAAACAGCUGUAUAUUGAGAGAAAGCAUGGCAUAAACUUCCAGAAAGGGUUUUAUGUCAUCAUCAAGUACUCAAGAAUCUCCACAUCGUCAAGUUGGUACAAUGUAGCGCCAUGGCCUUUAUGAAUAAGUCUAAGUACAAUCAAUCGAGUUGUCCAAGAAAGCUCCACUGUCCUCUCCACUCAUUACUUAUCAGUUAUGGGCGUGGUUAGAGCAUGUUGUUAUUGAUUAGUAGUAGAAAUCAGAAGAUAAAUACUGUCCUUAUCACUUUACAAGAAGUUUCUGCAAUUGAGAAAUCAAUUUCAAAUGGAACUAAGGUGCCGGAAGUUCAGAUCACGACAUUAGUUGAGAUGCUCAUGAGACAAGCAAUUAAGCUAGAUAGCAUUGCUGCAGAAGGAGAUGCUACUUCUCUGAAGA
This is an RNA transcript of Ricinus communis (castor bean), 1183 nucleotides long. It is a transcript of the gene named BAG family molecular chaperone regulator 3, with no coding region annotated. The record is from RefSeq and is a predicted model, not a curated record. The transcript has 4 exons. Lineage: Eukaryota; Viridiplantae; Streptophyta; Magnoliopsida; Malpighiales; Euphorbiaceae.